This 210-nucleotide unclassified non-coding RNA is filed under the name Hevea brasiliensis (rubber tree). Lineage: Eukaryota; Viridiplantae; Streptophyta; Magnoliopsida; Malpighiales; Euphorbiaceae. The record is from RNAcentral.
GUCCCAAAGGACUGUAUGCAACAAUACCAAUGCCAAGUUCUCUGCAAGUAGGAACUAUCUCUUCUUCCACAUCUCUCGACCACAAAGACCACUCCAACUGCACAGCUGUUAUAGGGUGAACAGCAUGAGCUCUUCUGAUUGUUGAGGCAGAGGCCUCAGAUAGACCUAUAUACUUUAUUUUACCCUCUUCAACUAGUUUCUUGAGUUCCC